GUUUUUGGCGCCGGCUGUGAGGGGAGCGCGGGGGUGGUGGAAUCGGGCGGUCUCCGGUUCGCCAAUGUGGCUGGGUCCGUAGGCUUGGGCAGCCUUGGAGUUCCUCAGAGACCCCGCGCUCGGUCCCGGCACGCACUCACGCCGCGGCUCCUGGUGGCCCUGGAGCGAGGAGUCCGCCAGCACCGGAAGUUCAGGGACCGCGGAGUUCCCGUUGGCCCUUUUGGAGGCACAGCUUAUCCCUGCUUGCCCGCGAGCAUGGGGCCGGAGGCACCCCCCGGCUGCAGGCAGUCUCCUGAGAGCUGUUAAUAAAGGCAGUCGCGGGUCUGUGCGAGGUUUUCUGUGAGAAAUGCACGAACCUCCCCUACCCCACAGAACCUCAAGCGGGAGAUAUUUCUCGACAUGGGGAACGGCCUCGGAGAAGUAACUUUCUGGCCUCACAGGGCAGGGAGAGGGGCCUGGGAGGGCCGACCGCAGAGCCGGGCCUUUGACCGCCCACAGGUUCCCUGGUUAUUAUUUGGGUCGAAUGCGCCAAUUAAGGUGGUGGCUGCGAAGUCAGUGUCACCAGAUGGCCCGGGAGCAGGUCGAGAGCCACCGGCAGGGUUCCCCGGCGGCAGGGCGAAGGAGGCCGCCAGUGACUUCCACGGUUAGCUUUGUGGGUGGGUCUCACUCGAUGCCGGGCUUAGCAAACCAGAGCAUUUCCCUCCGUCCAGGGCCUGCCGGGGAUCCAUCCCAUCCAUAGGUCCAGCUAUGGAUCCAUCCAUACCUCAUUGUUCCUACAGAACCAGGAUAUCUGCAGCUACGGCUGUACUUGUUAAAAAUCACCUCAGGCCGGGCGCGGUGGCUCAGAUCCGCAAUCCCAGCAUUUUGGGAGGCCGAGGCGCAUGAACCGGGGAGGCGGAGGUUGCAGUGAGCCGAGAUCGCCCACUGCACUCCAGCCUGGGCGACAGAGCGAGACUCCGUCUCAGAAAGAAAAGCAUUUGUUAAGGCCGGGUGCGAUGGCUCAUGCCUGUAAUCCCAGUACUUUGGGAGGCUGAUGCAGGAGGAUCGCUUGAGUCCAGGAACUUGAGACCGGCCUGGGUAAUAUAAUGCGACCCUGUCUCCACACAAAAAAUAAUUAGCGGGCAUGGUGGCGCUCGCCUGGAGUCCCAGCUACUCGGGAGGCUGAGGUGAGAGGAUCGCUUGAGCCCAGGAGGCGGAGGUUGCAGUGAGCCGAGAUCGCGUCAUUGAACUCCAGCCUGAGGAACAAGAGCGAAACCCCAUCUCAAAAAAAAAAAAAAGAAAGAAAAUAAAAUUAUUUGUUAAAUGAAUGAAGUAUUUAGGUAGAAGCAGCAGCAGGGAGAGCCGGCAUGGCUCAAGUGGCGUUGCUUUGGAGUUGGUCUGGGGCAGCAAAAUAGCAAUAUCUAACACUUCAUAAUGCUGAUUCAGUGCCAGGCGCUCUUCCAGCUCUUUACAUAUUAAUUAACUUACUCUUCAAAAUAACCUUUCCAAAAAGUUACCACUGUUUUACAGAAACUGGGACAUAGAGGUAAAUUAACUUGUCCAGGGUCGCAUAGCUAGCAGUGGAGGCGUAGGAUAUAAGUGAAGACACUGCUGUGUCAUCCCAGUUUCUUUUUUUUGAGACAGAAUCUCACUCUGUCACCCAGGCUGGAGUGCAGUGGCAGGAUCAUGGCUCACUGCAGCCUUGACAUCCCCAGCUAUAUCAAUCCUCCCUCCUCAGCCUCCCAAAGGUGAGCCACCACGUCUGGCCUGUUUGUUUCUAAAUGCUUUUUUGUUUUCUUUUGAAAACAUGAGUAUUUAUUGAAUUGUAAAGUAUACACAUAGUGCAAAAUUCAAAAGAUUCAAACAGAUGCACAAUAAAAGGUCUCCCUCCCGUUCCUGUCCCCUAGGCCUCCCAGUCUCAAGGCAGUGGCAGUCUCUUGUAUAUCCUUCCAGAUUCAGCCGUACGUGCAAAUAGACAAGUAUAUUUGUUAUAUUUAAUACAAACGCUAUCAUAUACACUGUUCUGAGCUCUUCUUUUGUGUUAACUAUAUGUAUCUUGUAACUCAUCCUACAUCAGCACAUGUAGAGCUGCCUCAUUCUUUUUAAUAGCUACAUGGCAUUCCUUGUGUGGAAGGAUCACAAUUUAUCUAGUCACCAUUGCUGGAUAGUUAGGGUUUUUUGCUAUGUUUGGCCAUUACAAACUGCUAUAGCAAAUAUUCUCACUUACGUUAUUUUACACAAAUCAUAUCUGUAGAACAGCUGGGUCAAGGGUAUGGACUUUCACAUUUUCAUAGAUGUUCUCCCAAGUGCUGUCUUUGGUUGGGGUUUUCCAUGGCCGUUCCAGCCAAGAGCGACCCCACCUGCUCCAGCUGGCUCAGAUUAUCUGCUGCCCCUGAGCUCCAAGGCUGGGAGACAGUGCUCCACGUUUUAGCAGAGGAAGAACUAGAUGGUGGUGAGAGGUGUGAGCAUGGCUCUAAUUAUUGUGGGGAGUGUGACUAGUCUCAGACACCAGCCAAGAAGCUGCAGGGAUACCACUGCCUUGAGUGGCCACUGGCUGCUUCUUUGGGCCUGCAUGGACCCGGCCCAACUCUGUCUGCUGCUGUGGUCUGGCUGCCCCCCAUGAAACCUGUGUAGUGAGGCACCCACUUGGGACACCCAUGGGCACUUCUGACCCCUGAGACCCAGUAGGCCAUAGUGGGCCUCAUACUCAUGCUAGGAUCUGACAGCCCACUGGAGGGGGUCUGCAGGCUUCCAAGGAUUAACUCCACUUCCCAGGACUGGGCUUCUAGGAAAUAAGUGUCUCAGUUAGGCUCCAACUAGCCAAGAAAAAUCACAUUGAGUAUUUAAAAAAGAGGGAGCUUAGCGCAGGGACGUGGUGACAUGAGGGAUAGAAUUGCUGAGAAGCCGAGGGGACUGAGCAGGAAGCAGCUGCCCCCCUUCCAGGCUCUUCCACUGAAGGCUAUGAUGAGGGCCCGGGCUGAUGCCAGGGAAGCUUCAGAAGGUCAGGAGGUUGGGGACAUCCUGUGUCUCCCCUGCUCCUCCCCCUGAGUUGCAGGUAGGGCUGGCCAGACCCAGCCAGCACCCAGCCCACAAAGCCUGCAGGGUGAGUCCCUGCCAUGUAGGCCGAGCAGGGCAGGGCUGGGCACCCCAGCUGGCCGGGAGGGAGUUCACAGCCUCAGCUUCCAGAGCUCCAGGUCUGCUGAGUGUGAAGGCCUGGGGUGUCUGCUAUGAAGUUCCCUUUACCAGUCCAGCCUCCUUCUGUCUUCCUUCUGUCUUUGGGUUCACUGAGGCCUUUGGAUACUGCCCAGAUCUUCCCCAACACUUUCCCCCAGAUGUCAAAGGGGGACCCUAAGCUCUUCCUCCCUUGCCAGGCCUUGCUUAGUGUGUUAGCGAGCCUUUCCCAGAGGAGGCAUCUGUGUCUCAGGGUCCCAGGAGCCGGAGCCAGAGAACCCAGCCUUUGUCUUCCCGAGGCAGCCCGAGAAGCUUCACCUGUUCACCCAGAGGUAGAGUCAGCCCGUUGCCAACAACUGCAGGCCCCUGAGCCUGCUGGAGGAGGGUGUUGUGGGCCCCAGAUCAACGUCAUCCCCAACUUCCCUGCUGCACCUCCCAGGCCUCUCCAUCCAGGAGGUUGGGCCCUGCUGGAGAGAAAUCUGUGAUGAUGCAGAUUUGGGGCCUCCAAAUGCCCUGCCCUCCCAGCAGCUGCCCUGGUAGCAGCCCCAGCUGCUAGCCCAGAUCAUCUUCCAGGAGCUCCUGAACGCUCUCAUUUCCCUCUCCCCAGCCUCUAUGCCAAGCCUCUUCCCUCAGGCCCCUCACCUCUCCUUCUCUGCCCUCCCUGUCAACAGAGUUACUCUAUCUUCUCCUUCAUAGGGAAGGACAAACCUCCCAGAGGGAUUCCCACCCUCUGAUUUCUAUACAUUUGCAGACAUCCUGAGCUCUCUCUGCCACUCCAAAGCCCCAAGGAAACCAGAGUCUUUCUCUAUAGCACCCCUUCCCCUGUGCCAGCGAGCCCCUCCUCACCCCCUCCUGGGGUUCCCACUACAGUGAUCUCCUCAGCUGUCACUCGCCACUUUUUUGUGUUUUUUGGUGUGUGGGUGUGUGGGGGUGUGGGUGUGUGUUUUUGGACUCACUCUGUUGGCCAGGCUGGAGUCCAGUGGUGUUAACACAGCUCACUGCAGCCUCGACAUCCCAGGCUCAGGUGAUCCUCCCACCUCAGUCCCUUAAGUAGCUAAGACUACAGGCGUUUGCUACCACGCCCAGCUACUUUUUGUAUUU
Molecule: long non-coding RNA, 4251 nt
Filed under: Homo sapiens (human)
Lineage: Eukaryota; Metazoa; Chordata; Mammalia; Primates; Hominidae
Description: non-protein coding lnc-B3GNT7-4:3
Source: RNAcentral